Molecule: ribosomal RNA, 274 nt
Filed under: uncultured bacterium
Lineage: Bacteria
Description: partial 16S ribosomal RNA
Rfam family: Bacterial small subunit ribosomal RNA
Source: RNAcentral
AUACGGAGGGUGCAAGCGUUGUUCGGAAUCACUGGGCGUAAAGGGCGCGCAGGCGGUUUGGUAAGUCAGAUGUGAAAGCCCACGGCUCAACCGUGGAAGUGCAUUUGAAACUGCCAGACUUGAGUACCAGAGGGGAAAGUGGAAUUCCCGGUGUAGAGGUGAAAUUCGUAGAUAUCGGGAGGAAUACCGGUGGCGAAGGCGACUUUCUGGCUGGAUACUGACGCUGAGGCGCGAAAGCGUGGGGAGCAAACAGGAUAAGAAACCCGUGUAGUCC